This 645-nucleotide ribosomal RNA is filed under the name Bacillus cereus. RNAcentral's name for it is "bacterial SSU rRNA". It matches the Rfam family "Bacterial small subunit ribosomal RNA", at positions 17 to 642 of the family's 1533-position model. Lineage: Bacteria; Bacillati; Bacillota; Bacilli; Caryophanales; Bacillaceae. The record is from RNAcentral.
ACCUGGCUCAGGAUGAACGCUGGCGGCGUGCCUAAUACAUGCAAGUCGAGCGAAUGGAUUAAGAGCUUGCUCUUAUGAAGUUAGCGGCGGACGGGUGAGUAACACGUGGGUAACCUGCCCAUAAGACUGGGAUAACUCCGGGAAACCGGGGCUAAUACCGGAUAACAUUUUGAACCGCAUGGUUCGAAAUUGAAAGGCGGCUUCGGCUGUCACUUAUGGAUGGACCCGCGUCGCAUUAGCUAGUUGGUGAGGUAACGGCUCACCAAGGCAACGAUGCGUAGCCGACCUGAGAGGGUGAUCGGCCACACUGGGACUGAGACACGGCCCAGACUCCUACGGGAGGCAGCAGUAGGGAAUCUUCCGCAAUGGACGAAAGUCUGACGGAGCAACGCCGCGUGAGUGAUGAAGGCUUUCGGGUCGUAAAACUCUGUUGUUAGGGAAGAACAAGUGCUAGUUGAAUAAGCUGGCACCUUGACGGUACCUAACCAGAAAGCCACGGCUAACUACGUGCCAGCAGCCGCGGUAAUACGUAGGUGGCAAGCGUUAUCCGGAAUUAUUGGGCGUAAAGCGCGCGCAGGUGGUUUCUUAAGUCUGAUGUGAAAGCCCACGGCUCAACCGUGGAGGGUCAUUGGAAACUGGGAGACU